UGGGGAAUAUUGGACAAUGGGCGAAAGCCUGAUCCAGCCAUGCCGCGUGUGUGAAGAAGGUCUUCGGAUUGUAAAGCACUUUAAGUUGGGAGGAAGGGCAGUAAGCGAAUACCUUGCUGUUUUGACGUUACCGACAGAAUAAGCACCGGCUAACUCUGUGCCAGCAGCCGCGGUAAUACAGAGGGUGCAAGCGUUACUCGGAAUUACUGGGCGUAAAGCGCGCGUAGGUUGUUCGUUAAGUUGAAUGUGAAAGCCCCGGGCUCAACCUGGGGACUGCAUCCAAAACUGGCGAGCUAGAGUAGAGCAGAGGAUGGUGGAAUUUCCUGUGUAGCGGUGAAAUGCGUAGAUAUAGGAAGGAACACCAGUGGCGAAGGCGACCACCUGGGCUCAUACUGACACUGAGGUGAGAAAGCGUGGGGAGCAAACAGG
RNAcentral lists this ribosomal RNA (429 nucleotides) under Pseudomonadota bacterium. RNAcentral describes it as "Proteobacteria bacterium partial 16S ribosomal RNA". It matches the Rfam family "Bacterial small subunit ribosomal RNA", at positions 355 to 776 of the family's 1533-position model. Lineage: Bacteria; Pseudomonadati; Pseudomonadota. The record is from RNAcentral.